Long non-coding RNA from Serinus canaria (Common canary), 1173 nucleotides. RefSeq lists it as uncharacterized. The transcript has 4 exons. The record is from RefSeq and is a predicted model, not a curated record. NCBI's taxonomy places the organism in Eukaryota, Metazoa, Chordata, Aves, Passeriformes, Fringillidae.
AUGACUGCCACUCCUUGUUCAGGCUGUAACCACUCCUUCUGUCCUGCUUCCCUGAUUACAGAGCAUUUUUGGGAGUGUUUAUCUUGUGGAUUUGCUGACCUGCUGUGUGUGCAGGAGGGGUGGCAGCUUUCUCAAGCACUGCUCUCUGCUGCUUUUGUUGCUUAUUCCUCCCCUCUGUGUGGUUGUAUUCCCAGUUCAGGUUUAAAUAAUAAGCUGGGAAAAGCUUGGGAUGUCGAGGGAGGUGGUGAGGGCUUGAACAGCCUUUCCCAAAGAGCAGGGAACAUUUAUUCCUGAUGUGUGACCAAGUUUAUUUUCCCAAAUACAGAGAAAUCAAAUCAGAGACAGGAAUAUUUCUCCCAGCUCAGACAUGAGGUUCCUGCUGCAGUGGUUGAAGCAUGGCCCAGCCCUCCUCCUUGAAGCCCUGGCAGGAGCCUGUCUUGGACUGUGGCUGGCUUUUCUGAGCUUCAGAGGGAUGGCGAUGUAAUUCUUUCCGGGAGCGAAUUUCCAAACAGAAGAUGGAUGAGUUGGGAGCGUGAGGAUCUAUUAAUACAUCUGCUGGUGUGGCAUGCCGUGCUCUGCUGAGAGCCGGGGGGGUGGAUGACAAAAAUUCUCCGUCGUGCUCGGUUCUCGUCCGGCGCUCCCUCCGCGCUGCGGUGGCUGCGAGCGCAGCUCGGGGAUGAGAGGUUCUCCUUUCACUACACCGGGGAAGCCCGGCUGGGAGAGGGGCAGGGACACUGCGGAGAUGCCGGGCUGGGAGGGAGUUCCUGCAGCAGCAGCAGCAGCAGUGAUUCCCCAUCUGGGAGAGCCAGCCCGGGGCUGGAGAUGCGCUGUGCCCGCAUUGCCAAAGCUCUCGGGGCUCUGCGCGGCCGGGGGAGCGGGGAUUCCGUGCUCAGCCUCCUGCCGCUCGCACAGGGGAGGGCCGUCGUGUGGAAAACGCCAAUCGCUUGGAUUUUAAGAUUUUAAAAGUUUAAUAGUAAUAAAAUGGUUUUAAAAAAUAUAGCAAUAUAAUUAGAGUAAUAAUAAUUUGGACAGUUAGGAUUAGGACAAUAUGAGACAAUAGGAACAAAGAGUUACAGACAGUCCAGGUACCUUUUCUGGGCAAAAUAAGCCCGAAAAAGGCCCCACGUUAACCCUUAAGGAUUUAAGGAUUAACCCUGAAAAGCAACAGCCUGU